UACGUAGGGUGCAAGCGUUGUCCGGAAUUAUUGGGCGUAAAGAGCUCGUAGGCGGUUUGUCGCGUCGGCUGUGAAAACCUGGGGCUCAACCCCGGGCCUGCAGCCGAUACGGGCAAACUAGAAUUCGGUAGGAGAGACUGGAAUUCCUGGUGUAGCGGUGAAAUGCGCAGAUAUCAGGAGGAACACCGGUGGCGAAGGCGGGUCUCUGGGCCGAUAUUGACGCUGAGGAGCGAAAGCGUGGGGAGCAAACAGG
RNAcentral lists this ribosomal RNA (253 nucleotides) under uncultured bacterium. RNAcentral's name for it is "partial 16S ribosomal RNA". It matches the Rfam family "Bacterial small subunit ribosomal RNA", at positions 524 to 776 of the family's 1533-position model. The record is from RNAcentral.